AACGGUAACAUUUCUAGCUUGCUAGAAGAUGACGAGUGGCGGACGGGUGAGUAAUGCUUGGGAACUUGCCUUUGCGAGGGGGAUAACAGUUGGAAACGACUGCUAAUACCGCAUAAUGUCUACGGACCAAAGGGGGCUUAGGCUCCGGCGCAAAGAGAGGCCCAAGUGAGAUUAGCUAGUUGGUAAGGUAACGGCUUACCAAGGCGACGAUCUCUAGCUGUUCUGAGAGGAAGAUCAGCCACACUGGGACUGAGACACGGCCCAGACUCCUACGGGAGGCAGCAGUGGGGAAUAUUGCACAAUGGGGGAAACCCUGAUGCAGCCAUGCCGCGUGUGUGAAGAAGGCCUUCGGGUUGUAAAGCACUUUCAGUUGUGAGGAAAAGUUAGUAGUUAAUACCUGCUAGCCGUGACGUUAACAACAGAAGAAGCACCGGCUAACUCCGUGCCAGCAGCCGCGGUAAUACGGAGGGUGCGAGCGUUAAUCGGAAUUACUGGGCGUAAAGCGCACGCAGGCGGUUUGUUAAGCUAGAUGUGAAAGCCCCGGGCUCAACCUGGGAUGGUCAUUUAGAACUGGCAGACUAGAGUCUUGGAGAGGGGAGUGGAAUUCCAGGUGUAGCGGUGAAAUGCGUAGAUAUCUGGAGGAACAUCAGUGGCGAAGGCGACUCCCUGGCCAAAGACUGACGCUCAUGUGCGAAAGUGUGGGUAGCGAACAGGAUUAGAUACCCUGGUAGUCCACACCGUAAACGCUGUCUACUAGCUGUGUGUGUCUUUAAGACGUGCGUAGCGAAGCUAACGCGCUAAGUAGACCGCCUGGGGAGUACGGCCGCAAGGUUAAAACUCAAAUGAAUUGACGGGGGCCCGCACAAGCGGUGGAGCAUGUGGUUUAAUUCGAUGCAACGCGAGACCUUACUACACUUGACAUGCUGAGAGUUACUAGAGAUAGUUCGUGCCUUCGGAACUCAGACCAGUGCU
Molecule: ribosomal RNA, 972 nt
Filed under: uncultured Gammaproteobacteria bacterium
Lineage: Bacteria; Pseudomonadati; Pseudomonadota; Gammaproteobacteria
Description: bacterial SSU rRNA
Rfam family: Bacterial small subunit ribosomal RNA
Source: RNAcentral